RNAcentral lists this transfer RNA (73 nucleotides) under Paramuricea clavata. It matches the Rfam family "tRNA". Rfam says of the family: Transfer RNA (tRNA) molecules are approximately 80 nucleotides in length. The record is from Rfam by way of RNAcentral. Lineage: Eukaryota; Metazoa; Cnidaria; Anthozoa; Malacalcyonacea; Plexauridae.
GACCGCGUAGCUCAGUUGGCAGAGUAUUGGGCUAGUAUUCCAAAGGUCGUAGGUUCGAUUCCCACCUUGGCCA